GACGAACGCUGGCGGCGUGCUUAACACAUGCAAGUCGAACGGAAAGGCCUUGUUUUUCUGGUGUGCUCGAGUGACGAACGGGUCAGUAACACGUGAGUCACCUGCCCUUGACUUUGGGAUAACUUCAGGAAACUGGGGCUAAUAGCGGUUAGGAGCUCCAGCUGUAUGGUGGGGGUUGGAAAGUUUCGGAGGAUGGGGUUGGACUCGCGGCUUAUCAGGUUGCUGGUGGGGUAGUGGCUUACCAAGGCUUUGACGGGUAGCGGGCCGGAGAGGGUGACCGGCCACAUUGGGACGGAGAUAAGGCCCAGACUCCUACGGGAAGCAGCAGUGGGGGAUAGUGCACAAUGGGAGGAAGCCUGAGGCAGCAACGCCGCGUGCGGGGUGACGGCCUCCGUGUUGUAGACCGCUUGCGCCUGUGAUGAAGCGGGAGUGACGGUAAUGGGUAAAGAAGCACCGGCUAACUACGUG
This 468-nucleotide ribosomal RNA is filed under the name uncultured bacterium. Its description in RNAcentral is "partial 16S ribosomal RNA". It matches the Rfam family "Bacterial small subunit ribosomal RNA", at positions 28 to 507 of the family's 1533-position model. The record is from RNAcentral.